This 134-nucleotide ribosomal RNA is filed under the name Haemophilus influenzae. Its description in RNAcentral is "partial 23S ribosomal RNA". It matches the Rfam family "Bacterial large subunit ribosomal RNA", at positions 1 to 127 of the family's 2925-position model. The record is from RNAcentral. Lineage: Bacteria; Pseudomonadati; Pseudomonadota; Gammaproteobacteria; Pasteurellales; Pasteurellaceae.
GUUGUAUAGUUAAGUGACUAAGCGUACAAGGUGGAUGCCUUGGCAAUCAGAGGCGAAGAAGGACGUGCUAAUCUGCGAAAAGCUUGGAUGAGUCGAUAAGAGGCGCUUAAUCCAAGAUAUCCGAAUGGGGAAAC